UACGCAGGGGGCGAGCGUUAUCCGGAUUCACUGGGUGUAAAGGGAGCGUAGACGGCCAAGCAAACCAGGGGUGAAAGCCCGGGGCCCAACCCCGGGACUGCCCUUGGAACUGCAUGGCUGGAGUGCGGGAGGGGCAGGCGGAAUUCCUGGUGUAGCGGUGAAAUGCGUAGAUAUCAGGAGGAACACCGGCGGCGAAGGCGGCCUGCUGGACCGCGACUGACGUUGAGGCUCGAAAGCGUGGGGAGCGAACAGG
RNAcentral lists this ribosomal RNA (253 nucleotides) under uncultured bacterium. Its description in RNAcentral is "partial 16S ribosomal RNA". It matches the Rfam family "Bacterial small subunit ribosomal RNA", at positions 524 to 776 of the family's 1533-position model. The record is from RNAcentral.